GAGGGCGUAGCUCAGUGGUAGAGUGCCUGCUUUGCAUGCAUAAGGUCCUGGGUUCGAUCCCCAGCACCUCCA
Molecule: transfer RNA, 72 nt
Filed under: Camelus bactrianus (Bactrian camel)
Lineage: Eukaryota; Metazoa; Chordata; Mammalia; Artiodactyla; Camelidae
Also listed under: 1 other name
Rfam family: tRNA
About the family: Transfer RNA (tRNA) molecules are approximately 80 nucleotides in length. Their secondary structure includes four short double-helical elements and three loops (D, anti-codon, and T loops).
Source: Rfam by way of RNAcentral